Molecule: long non-coding RNA, 810 nt
Organism: Neopelma chrysocephalum (saffron-crested tyrant-manakin)
Lineage: Eukaryota; Metazoa; Chordata; Aves; Passeriformes; Pipridae
Exons: 3
Source: RefSeq, a predicted model, not a curated record
GGGGAAAUCGAGGUUCUCUGAGCGGGACAGGAAGGGACAAUUCUGGGGUAAAACCUGAGCUAGUCGCGGCAGGUUUAGGGGUCCAACCCGAGUUCCCGUACGGGGAUCGGAAGGAACGUUUCUGAGGGAAAAGCAGAGGCGAAUUGGGAGGGGGAGCAGAGGUGACAUUUUCCACAGAAAUGCUGAGGUAAUUUGGAUGAAACAAAAUCACCACUUUUGUGGGGUGAACCCAGGGGUACCUUAGAGAGGAGAAAGGAGCCUUUGUGAGAGAAAGGCUGGGAAUUCAGACCAGACCGAGGCGGCGUUUUGGACAGAAAACCUGAGGUUACUUAGCAGGGACAGAGGUGACCCUUUGAGCUGAAAACCUGGGGUAGUUUAGAGGGGACACAACCACUGUUUUCUGUAGGAAAGUGGGAGGUGAUGUAGAGGAGAGAGAGGUGGCGUUUGGAGGGAAUGGCUGAGGUGGUUGGGAAUGGCUGAGAUUGACUGUGGGCUGCAGACUGAGCCCUGGGGCCUGAACCCUUUCCAGUCAGCAGGGGCUGUUCCCAGAAGCCCUGCCCUGGCUCAUAACUCGGUUGUUUCCAGGUGCUCGGGGAGCGAUUCCCCAGGAGGAAGGGGAGCCUUGGCCCCACCUGCCCGGCUCAGUUGGACGGGACAGAACUGGGGCGGCCUGGCAGGGCAUGGACACGUUUCUGAGUUCUGCAGUGCCUCGAAACCUUUCUGUGUCCCAGAAAACUUCCUACCAAAAAUUCUGUCUCGGUUUUCCACCAGAGGUUCUCACCAGAAUUUUCCCCGUGGAGUUUUCCUGCC